RNAcentral lists this ribosomal RNA (197 nucleotides) under uncultured bacterium. Its description in RNAcentral is "partial 16S ribosomal RNA". It matches the Rfam family "Bacterial small subunit ribosomal RNA", at positions 1302 to 1500 of the family's 1533-position model. The record is from RNAcentral.
AGGCUGCAACUCGCCUGCAUGAAGUCGGAAUUGCUAGUAAUCGCGGAUCAGCAUGCCGCGGUGAAUACGUUCCCGGGCCUUGUACACACCGCCCGUCACACCAUGGGAGUCGGUAACACCCGAAGCCGAUAGUCUAACGAAAGAGGACGUCGUCGAAGGUGGGAUUGAUGACUGGGGUGAAGUCGUAACAAGGUAGC